CUAAAAAUCUAGCCGACCCCCCCCCCCCUUUUUUUUCCAAACAAAAUAAAAUAUUCUAUCAACCUAGUAAAGAAGAUUAAAAAAUUUCUAAGAGCUAUAAAAAUGUACCGCAAGGGAAAGAUGAAAUAAAAAUGAAAUAUACUCAAGCACAAAAAAAUAGAGAUACAUCCUCGUACCUUUUGCAUCAUGGUUUAGCCAGUCUAAUUAGGCAAAAAGAAUUUGAGUCUAACUUCCCGAAACUAAGUGAGCUAAUUUGGGGCUGCUUAAAGAGCUAACCCGUCUAUGUUGAAAAAUAGUGGGAUGACCCCAGAAUAGAAGUGACAGACCUAACGAACUUAGUUAUAGCUGGUUUCUCAAGAAAAGAAUCUCAGUUCCGCCUAAAGUAAUUUAAAUCCUUACAGAUAUUCUCAGACCUUUAGAGUAAAUCAAAUAAGGUACAGCCUAUUUGAUACAGAACACAACCUUCAACAACGGGUAACACAACUUAAAACUUAAGUGGGCCUAAGAGCAGCCACCUUUUAAAAAGCGUCAAAGCUUACACUAUACUUCAAUUCGUAAACCACUAUUGAUCCCUUCAACCCUAUUGAGAACUCCUAUAACCCUUAUAGGACAUUUUAUGCUAAAACUAGUAACAAGAGGUUACCCCUCUCCACAAUGUAAACUCAAACCAGCUUGAACCCCUCACUGGUAUCCAACAGACUUUGACUAAAGUAAUAACUCUUCUAGAAAAUAUUACUUUCACCACUGUUAACCUAACACAAGAACAUUUUAAGAAAGAUUAAAAGAAAAAGAAGGAACUCGGCAAAUAUUAAGUCCGCCUGUUUACCAAAAACAUCACCUCUUGCCCUCACCAUAAGAGGCCCAGCCUGCCCAGUGAUUUUAUUCAACGGCCGCGGUAUCCUAACCGUGCAAAGGUAGCGUAAUCACUUGUCUCCUAAAUAGAGACUAGUAUGAAAGGCAUCACGAGACUUAUACUGUCUCCUCUCUCUAAUCAGUGAACCUAAUCUCCCCGUGAAGAAGCGGGGGUAAUUUUAUAAGACGAGAAGACCCUAUGGAGCUUAAAACAGUACUACACGUGCCACACAUAUCCCUUUACCAAGGUCCUAAUCCCAUAAGCACGCUGAUUACAUGUUUUUGGUUGGGGUGACCGCGGAGAACAAACUACCCUCCACGAUGAAAGUGGUACUACCACUAAACAAUAAGCCACAACUUUACCCAUCAAUAAACUGACAUUAAUUGACCCAAUAAUUUGAUCAACGAACCAAGUUACCCUAGGGAUAACAGCGCAAUCCACUUUAAGAGCCCCUAUCGACAAGUGGGCUUACGACCUCGAUGUUGGAUCAGGGUAUCCCAGUGGUGCAGCCGCUACUAAAGGUUCGUUUGUUCAACGAUUAAAACCCCACGUGAUCUGAGUUCAGACCGGAGUAAUCCAGGUCAGUUUCUAUCUAUAACAGAGUUAUUUUUAGUACGAAAGGAUCAAAAUAACAUAGCCAAUAUACAUUACAAGCUAUAACUGGUUAUUUUAGACCACCACUCAAAAAAUAACUAACCUUA
RNAcentral lists this ribosomal RNA (1554 nucleotides) under Pristimantis latidiscus (disc robber frog). RNAcentral's name for it is "partial 16S ribosomal RNA". It matches the Rfam family "Bacterial large subunit ribosomal RNA", at positions 380 to 2925 of the family's 2925-position model. Lineage: Eukaryota; Metazoa; Chordata; Amphibia; Anura; Strabomantidae. The record is from RNAcentral.